GCUCCGCGCCGCAAGCCGGCUGGGAAACCUGCGUGAGAGGGACCGCAGAGCUGCGCGGUGAGAGCCGCGCUGCUGGGUGCGGUGCUACGGGGCUGAGUUCAGCAACGGCGGGGGAUCGCCGGCAGCUAGAGCGGUGACAUCUCUCAGCCGUGUAGUGACAGGUUUCACACUUGUAACAAAAAGCGUGAGUGUUUCGUUUCUGCUGCUGCUGCCCAGUUUUACUAAAAUUUUUAACGUUGAGGAUAUCUCCCACAGUCUGGAAUGACGCCGUGGGUCUGCAGGCUCAUACUGAAGGGGAAAUGGCAGAGGAGAAUGGGUUUUUAAGGAAGCUGAGGAGUGUCGGAUGGGGUCUGUCAUCAGUGAUUGCUGUGGAAGCUGCGAGCUGCAACAGAAAAGAGAACUGAGUAGGAGAGGGCUUCAUUGUCUACAGCAAGCAAUGGACGCUUGAUGGAGAUGGACAGUGGAAGAUUAUGGAAGGAUGAAAGAAAAGAGAUGUGCUCUUGAUGAACUGAAAUGAUUUUAAGUAGCCCUAAAUUAUAGAACUGUUGUGAAGUCACCAUGAAAGGAGCUAAGUGAACAAGAGUUUUGAAUUUAUCAACACGUGUUCAUACACAAAGUGCAAAAGGGUUUUAGGGGCAGAGCUCCUAAAAUAAAAUUAUUUUUAAAACAAAACAAAACAAAAAAAAAAAAAAAACCAACGCCAAACAACACUCAAGGGAAACAUGGAAGAUGUGGCCUUCAGAAGACUACUAAAGAUCUGUUUAUUUAGCACCUAAUCUGAGAUGCUUCACAAGAAAGACCAAGAAGUCACAGCCAUCAUUGUGUCUCAUCACAGGUACUCCCACUUCUGGUUCCUUAAUGGCCUGCUGGAUAGCCACCUUCUGCCACCUGUUUCUACUAUAGAUGUAACUUUUAAUUUUAAUGCAAAUAAUGAAUAAGUAAGUGCAAAAGAUAAAAUUUGGUUUUAGGGUGAACUAUGCACACAUGGGUAGCUCAACAAAACUGCAGAAGGCUGCUUGGAGUAAUUUGUCUGAAGCUUGUAGGGAUCACAAUCUCAAAGUGCUGGCUAUUUAGUAGCACAACAACAGAGAGGCAAAUAAGGUUUUUUAUGUAGUAUUUCUCAAUAUAUGUAUUUCUCAAUAAAAGUAAUGUAAAAAAUUUGAAAUUCAUAUUCAAAAUAUUUAAUAUUUUGAGAAAUAAAUUGAUUUAGUCAUUGCUAAUUUGCCUGUGACUUUGCCAUUUCAGUACUUAUCUUGUAGAUACAUAGUGUGCAAUAUUUAAAUAAACAAGGACAAACAUUUACACUUCUAAUACAAUACAUAAAGCCUAUGUCAUCCAGAGGAUGUGCUCAUAAAUCUCAAAAAGGCUGUCUCUUGCCAUGACUCACAAAAGCAAAAUAAAUAAUUAUUCAAUACGC
Molecule: long non-coding RNA, 1417 nt
Organism: Melospiza melodia melodia
Lineage: Eukaryota; Metazoa; Chordata; Aves; Passeriformes; Passerellidae
Exons: 2
Source: RefSeq, a predicted model, not a curated record